Molecule: long non-coding RNA, 650 nt
Organism: Macrobrachium nipponense
Lineage: Eukaryota; Metazoa; Arthropoda; Malacostraca; Decapoda; Palaemonidae
Exons: 3
Source: RefSeq, a predicted model, not a curated record
CCCUCAUGUCAGUUGGCAUUUAACACCGGUGCAAGUUGACCGUAGCGGCUGUCUCAUUCAUUCAUGUGACACUCGCUCUGACUGGAGUGCAACAAAGGAAAGUCGAUUUCAUGAAUGAAAUUUUACAGAAAGACGUGUACAAUGACACACUGUCCAAUUUCAAGCUAAAAAACACUUAUAAAACUCUGAUAAUUUAGUCAUGAGUAAAUGCAACAAGAACCUACAUUGUACCUAAUAUAUAUUUCAAGCCGAAUUCCAAGUAAACUGAAUGACAAAGGUGAAAAUAUAAAUCCUCGGAUCAAGAGAACCCAGAGGUAAUAAAAGUGACGCUUUCCAGGGCUGGCACCUCAAUCAUCACCGAACUUUCCUCAUCCCAACAGAAACAACAAAUAGAAGACCAGAAGAGAGAAUGUUAUCAACAGCAGAAAACUGCCUUCAGACAUUUUUUGUGCAGACUCAGCCAUGGACGACUCUCCUGCCUUUUAUAAUGUUCUGCCUUCCAUUUUUUGUACCAGCAGUUGAAAGUAUCGAAUGCUAUGAAUGUGUUCACAAUAACCAACGUGUGAAGCGACAUAACCGAUUUGUGUACCCUUGCUCCGAAUUUGAUGCAUCACCACGAUACAUCAUGCACUGUCCAGACUCAAAACUGU